Molecule: ribosomal RNA, 168 nt
Filed under: Clostridioides difficile
Lineage: Bacteria; Bacillati; Bacillota; Clostridia; Peptostreptococcales; Peptostreptococcaceae
Description: partial 23S ribosomal RNA
Source: RNAcentral
ACCGUUUGAGAGAUGGUAUGAAAGAGUAGAAGAAGCUAAACACACAGUUGGUUAUGAGUGCCAAAGGAUUGGGGCAGUGAAACUAGGCAAAUCAGCUUUGAUAAUACUGUGAAGUGAUAGGGAGAAAAAAUUACUAGCGAAGUUGCUGAUUUCACACUGACAAGAAAA